CCUACGGGAGGCAGCAGUGGGGAAUUUUGGACAAUGGGGGCAACCCUGAUCCAGCCAUGCCGCGUGCGGGAAGAAGGCCUUCGGGUUGUAAACCGCUUUCGGCCGGAACGAAAUCGGCGGGAUGAACAGUCUCGCUGGAUGACGGUACCGGAAGAAGAAGCACCGGCUAACUACGUGCCAGCAGCCGCGGUAAUACGUAGGGUGCGAGCGUUAAUCGGAAUUACUGGGCGUAAAGCGUGCGCAGGCGGCUCGCUAAGCCAGAGGUGAAAUCCCCGGGCUCAACCUGGGAAUGGCCUUUGGAACUAGCGGGCUCGAGUGCGGCAGAGGGGGGUGGAAUUCCUGGUGUAGCAGUGAAAUGCGUAGAUAUCAGGAGGAACACCGAUGGCGAAGGCAGCCCCCUGGGCCAGCACUGACGCUCAGGCACGAAAGCGUGGGGAGCAAACAGGAUUAGAUACCCUGGUAGUCCACGCCCUAAACGAUGACGACUAGUUGUUGGGGGGAGCAAUCCCUUAGUAACGUAGCUAACGCGUGAAGUCGUCCGCCUGGGGAGUACGGUCGCAAGAUUAAAACUCAAAGGAAUUGACGG
RNAcentral lists this ribosomal RNA (586 nucleotides) under uncultured bacterium. RNAcentral describes it as "bacterial SSU rRNA". It matches the Rfam family "Bacterial small subunit ribosomal RNA", at positions 338 to 916 of the family's 1533-position model. The record is from RNAcentral.